AUUGAACGCUGGCGGCAUGCCUUACACAUGCAAGUCGAACGGCAGCACGGGUGCUUGCCCCUGGUGGCGAGUGGCGAACGGGUGAGUAAUACAUCGGAACAUGUCCUGUAGUGGGGGAUAGCCCGGCGAAAGCCGGAUUAAUACCGCAUACGAUCUACGGAUGAAAGCGGGGGACCUUCGGGCCUCGCGCUAUAGGGUUGGCCGAUAGCUGAUUAGCUAGUUGGUGGGGUAAAGGCCUACCAAGGCGACGAUCAGUAGCUGGUCUGAGAGGACGACCAGCCACACUGGAACUGAGACACGGCCCAGACUCCUACGGGAGGCAGCAGUGGGGAAUUUUGGACAAUGGGCGAAAGCCUGAUCCAGCAAUGCCGCGUGUGUGAAGAAGGCCUUCGGGUUGUAAAGCACUUUUGUCCGGAAAGAAAUCCUUGGCUCUAAUACAGUCGGGGGAUGACGGUACCGGAAGAAUAAGCACCGGCUAACUACGUG
This 486-nucleotide ribosomal RNA is filed under the name uncultured bacterium. RNAcentral describes it as "partial 16S ribosomal RNA". It matches the Rfam family "Bacterial small subunit ribosomal RNA", at positions 30 to 507 of the family's 1533-position model. The record is from RNAcentral.